RNAcentral lists this long non-coding RNA (279 nucleotides) under Bos taurus (domestic cattle). RNAcentral's name for it is "long non-coding RNA NONBTAT012048". The record is from RNAcentral. Lineage: Eukaryota; Metazoa; Chordata; Mammalia; Artiodactyla; Bovidae.
CUGCCUCGGGGUGGUGGGAGGGUGACGGUUAGAGUUACGACAGUAAGGCAACAAUAGAAGUAUUUAGGGGUAACUAAGGUUACUGUGGUGAUCGCUGUCCAGUGGUGUUAUUUUUUCUUCCCCCCUUGUAUACAUAGGAUAUUUGUCUUUGGGGACUAGGGUACUCUGAAUUUAUCUAGGAAGUAUGGAAGUGGCAGGAGCCAGGGUCAGAUGCUGGCCAGAAAGAUCCGUCCUGCUGGUUUUCAAUAGCUGCUCUCCCUGGGGAGCAAGGAUUUGGGG